This 393-nucleotide ribosomal RNA is filed under the name uncultured bacterium. RNAcentral describes it as "partial 16S ribosomal RNA". It matches the Rfam family "Bacterial small subunit ribosomal RNA", at positions 523 to 918 of the family's 1533-position model. The record is from RNAcentral.
AUACGGAGGAUCCGAGCGUUAUCCGGAUUUAUUGGGUUUAAAGGGAGCGUAGAUGGAUGUUUAAGUCAGUUGUGAAAGUUUGCGGCUCAACCGUAAAAUUGCAGUUGAUACUGGAUAUCUUGAGUGCAGUUGAGGCAGGCGGAAUUCGUGGUGUAGCGGUGAAAUGCUUAGAUAUCACGAAGAACUCCGAUUGCGAAGGCAGCCUGCUAAGCUGCAACUGACAUUGAGGCUCGAAAGUGUGGGUAUCAAACAGGAUUAGAUACCCUGGUAGUCCACACGGUAAACGAUGAAUACUCGCUGUUUGCGAUAUACGGCAAGCGGCCAAGCGAAAGCGUUAAGUAUUCCACCUGGGGAGUACGCCGGCAACGGUGAAACUCAAAUGAAUUGGCGGGG